RNAcentral lists this ribosomal RNA (253 nucleotides) under uncultured bacterium. RNAcentral's name for it is "partial 16S ribosomal RNA". It matches the Rfam family "Bacterial small subunit ribosomal RNA", at positions 524 to 776 of the family's 1533-position model. The record is from RNAcentral.
UACGAAGGGUGCAAGCGUUACUCGGAAUUACUGGGCGUAAAGGGUGCGUAGGUGGUGGGGUAAGUCGGAUGUGAAAUCCCGGGGCUCAACCCCGGAACUGCAUUCGAUACUGCCUUGCUCGAGUACUGGAGAGGAGACUGGAAUUUACGGUGUAGCAGUGAAAUGCGUAGAUAUCGUAAGGAAGACCAGUGGCGAAGGCGAGUCUCUGGACAGUUACUGACACUGAGGCACGAAGGCCAGGGGAGCAAACGGG